RNAcentral lists this ribosomal RNA (2902 nucleotides) under Klebsiella quasipneumoniae. Its description in RNAcentral is "23S ribosomal RNA". It matches the Rfam family "Bacterial large subunit ribosomal RNA". Lineage: Bacteria; Pseudomonadati; Pseudomonadota; Gammaproteobacteria; Enterobacterales; Enterobacteriaceae. The record is from RNAcentral.
UUAAGCGACUAAGCGUACACGGUGGAUGCCCUGGCAGUCAGAGGCGAUGAAGGACGUGCUAAUCUGCGAAAAGCGUCGGUAAGGUGAUAUGAACCGUUAUAACCGGCGAUGUCCGAAUGGGGAAACCCAGUGUGAUUCGUCACACUAUCGUUAACUGAAUACAUAGGUUAACGAGGCGAACCGGGGGAACUGAAACAUCUAAGUACCCCGAGGAAAAGAAAUCAACCGAGAUUCCCCCAGUAGCGGCGAGCGAACGGGGAGCAGCCCAGAGUCUGAAUCAGCUUGUGUGUUAGUGGAACGGUCUGGAAAGUCCGACGGUACAGGGUGAUAGUCCCGUACACCAAAAUGCACAGGCUGUGAACUCGAAGAGUAGGGCGGGACACGUGGUAUCCUGUCUGAAUAUGGGGGGACCAUCCUCCAAGGCUAAAUACUCCUGACUGACCGAUAGUGAACCAGUACCGUGAGGGAAAGGCGAAAAGAACCCCGGCGAGGGGAGUGAAAAAGAACCUGAAACCGUGUACGUACAAGCAGUGGGAGCACCUUUAUGGUGUGACUGCGUACCUUUUGUAUAAUGGGUCAGCGACUUAUAUUCUGUAGCAAGGUUAACCGUAUAGGGGAGCCGCAGGGAAACCGAGUCUUAACUGGGCGUUAAGUUGCAGGGUAUAGACCCGAAACCCGGUGAUCUAGCCAUGAGCAGGUUGAAGGUUGGGUAACACUAACUGGAGGACCGAACCGACUAAUGUUGAAAAAUUAGCGGAUGACUUGUGGCUGGGGGUGAAAGGCCAAUCAAACCGGGAGAUAGCUGGUUCUCCCCGAAAGCUAUUUAGGUAGCGCCUCGUGAACUCAUCUUCGGGGGUAGAGCACUGUUUCGGCUAGGGGGUCAUCCCGACUUACCAACCCGAUGCAAACUACGAAUACCGAAGAAUGUUAUCACGGGAGACACACGGCGGGUGCUAACGUCCGUCGUGAAGAGGGAAACAACCCAGACCGCCAGCUAAGGUCCCAAAGUCAUGGUUAAGUGGGAAACGAUGUGGGAAGGCACAGACAGCCAGGAUGUUGGCUUAGAAGCAGCCAUCAUUUAAAGAAAGCGUAAUAGCUCACUGGUCGAGUCGGCCUGCGCGGAAGAUGUAACGGGGCUAAACCAUGCACCGAAGCUGCGGCAGCGACGCUUAUGCGUUGUUGGGUAGGGGAGCGUUCUGUAAGCCUGCGAAGGUGACCUGUGAGGGUUGCUGGAGGUAUCAGAAGUGCGAAUGCUGACAUAAGUAACGAUAAAGCGGGUGAAAAGCCCGCUCGCCGGAAGACCAAGGGUUCCUGUCCAACGUUAAUCGGGGCAGGGUGAGUCGACCCCUAAGGCGAGGCCGAAAGGCGUAGUCGAUGGGAAACAGGUUAAUAUUCCUGUACUUGGUGUUACUGCGAAGGGGGGACGGAGAAGGCUAUGUUAGCCGGGCGACGGUUGUCCCGGUUUAAGCAUGUAGGCUGGUUAUCCAGGCAAAUCCGGAUAAUCAAGGCUGAGGUGUGAUGACGAGGCACUACGGUGCUGAAGUAACAAAUGCCCUGCUUCCAGGAAAAGCCUCUAAGCAUCAGGUAACACGAAAUCGUACCCCAAACCGACACAGGUGGUCAGGUAGAGAAUACCAAGGCGCUUGAGAGAACUCGGGUGAAGGAACUAGGCAAAAUGGUGCCGUAACUUCGGGAGAAGGCACGCUGGUGUGUAGGUGAAGUCCCUGCGGAUGGAGCUGAGACCAGUCGAAGAUACCAGCUGGCUGCAACUGUUUAUUAAAAACACAGCACUGUGCAAACACGAAAGUGGACGUAUACGGUGUGACGCCUGCCCGGUGCCGGAAGGUUAAUUGAUGGGGUUAUCCGUAAGGAGAAGCUCUUGAUCGAAGCCCCGGUAAACGGCGGCCGUAACUAUAACGGUCCUAAGGUAGCGAAAUUCCUUGUCGGGUAAGUUCCGACCUGCACGAAUGGCGUAAUGAUGGCCAGGCUGUCUCCACCCGAGACUCAGUGAAAUUGAACUCGCUGUGAAGAUGCAGUGUACCCGCGGCAAGACGGAAAGACCCCGUGAACCUUUACUAUAGCUUGACACUGAACAUUGAGCCUUGAUGUGUAGGAUAGGUGGGAGGCUUUGAAGCGUGGACGCCAGUCUGCGUGGAGCCAACCUUGAAAUACCACCCUUUAAUGUUUGAUGUUCUAACGUUGGCCCCUUAUCGGGGUUGCGGACAGUGUCUGGUGGGUAGUUUGACUGGGGCGGUCUCCUCCCAAAGCGUAACGGAGGAGCACGAAGGUUAGCUAAUCCUGGUCGGACAUCAGGAGGUUAGUGCAAUGGCAUAAGCUAGCUUGACUGCGAGCGUGACGGCGCGAGCAGGUGCGAAAGCAGGUCAUAGUGAUCCGGUGGUUCUGAAUGGAAGGGCCAUCGCUCAACGGAUAAAAGGUACUCCGGGGAUAACAGGCUGAUACCGCCCAAGAGUUCAUAUCGACGGCGGUGUUUGGCACCUCGAUGUCGGCUCAUCACAUCCUGGGGCUGAAGUAGGUCCCAAGGGUAUGGCUGUUCGCCAUUUAAAGUGGUACGCGAGCUGGGUUUAGAACGUCGUGAGACAGUUCGGUCCCUAUCUGCCGUGGGCGCUGGAGAAUUGAGGGGGGCUGCUCCUAGUACGAGAGGACCGGAGUGGACGCAUCACUGGUGUUCGGGUUGUCAUGCCAAUGGCACUGCCCGGUAGCUAAAUGCGGAAGAGAUAAGUGCUGAAAGCAUCUAAGCACGAAACUUGCCCCGAGAUGAGUUCUCCCUGAGACUAUAAGUCUCCUGAAGGAACGUUGAAGACGACGACGUUGAUAGGCCGGGUGUGUAAGCGCAGCGAUGCGUUGAGCUAACCGGUACUAAUGAACCGUGAGGCUUAACCUU